This 26-nucleotide non-coding RNA is filed under the name Homo sapiens (human). Lineage: Eukaryota; Metazoa; Chordata; Mammalia; Primates; Hominidae. The record is from RNAcentral.
UAGCGGACACGCAUAGGGCCUAGGCU